CCCUUAGAUGUUCUGGGCCGCACGCGCGCUACACUGAUGCAUUCAACAAGCCUAGCCUUGACCGAGAGGUCCGGGUAAUCUUUGAAACUGCAUCGUGAUGGGGCUAGAUUAUUGCAAUUAUUAAUCUUCAACGAGGAAUGCCUAGUAAGCGUGAUUCAUCAAAUCGCGUUGAUUACGUCCCUGCCCUUUGUACACACCGCCCGUCGCUCCUACCGAUUGGGUGUGCUGGUGAAAUGUUCGGAUCGGCCGUUUGUCGCGGUUUCCGCGUCAUGUGGCUGAGAAGUUCAUUAAACCCUCCCACCUAGAGGAAGGAGAAGUCGUAACA
This 325-nucleotide ribosomal RNA is filed under the name uncultured eukaryote. RNAcentral's name for it is "partial 18S ribosomal RNA". It matches the Rfam family "Eukaryotic small subunit ribosomal RNA", at positions 1470 to 1796 of the family's 1831-position model. The record is from RNAcentral.